Molecule: RNA transcript, 2909 nt
Organism: Glycine soja
Lineage: Eukaryota; Viridiplantae; Streptophyta; Magnoliopsida; Fabales; Fabaceae
Exons: 8
Source: RefSeq, a predicted model, not a curated record
AAAGUUAGCUAUAAUAUAAUUAUCUUCGUUAGAAUUUAAAUGAAAACUACAGUAGUACUAAUCGAGUGGAAUUGCAGAUGCAUCCAUGAAUGACCAUGCCACGGGAUCGUCACACGUGGUCAAACAGGGUUACCUUAAAUUGCAGUCAUUCUUGUCUUCCUUAACUCCAUCUCUGCUUUCCGUUCAUUCUCUUUGUUCCAAUCUCCGACAAAACAAACAACGUCUUGAUCCAUUUCAACACAUCCUAAUACCUCUCAUUAAAGACGCAACCAUCUUUCUCUCUCUGCACUCAACUCAAUCAUGCGCCUAACUUACUAACAACUCUUCAACUUUACAGCCACCAAAACGAUGUCGGAGAAUCUCGACGGUUCCGAAAUCUCGCCGAGUACUUCCUCCCAAAGUCUCGGCGAGUUACCGGAAAUCGCCGCGAUGCCAUUCGGAAUCGAUCUCGUGUCGGCGGCCAGGCGAAAUAUCUGGUUCCUGAGGACAGUGGCAGAUUCUGUGUGGCUUCACCACACCCCCAUUAUGGUGGAAGCCGUGAGAAGGUACCAUGAUUUCUGGAUGCCGUUGAUUGCUGAUCUCACGCUGCCCUACUCUUCCCCUCCCACGAUUCUUCCUCCCCUUGACAUCCACUGGGUUUGGUUCUGUCACACUUUAAACCCCGUAAGUUACAGGGAAUACUGUGAAACGAGAUUCUCGAAGCUGAUUGGGAAAGCGGGAAUCUUUGAUGAAGAGAACAGAGACUACGCGUUGAUGCGGUGCAUGGAGAUUUGGAGCAGUAGAUACCCGUUGGAGUCGUUUGAGAACGAGGCGAGUUCGGAUUCGCAGGAUUUGGAUACUGUGGUUGUUGUUGGGGGGUGUUUGAAGGAGAGUGUGUUUAAGGAAGUUGAAAAGCAGAGGGUGUUGCUGUGUUCCAUGUUUGUAGAGCCGUACAGGUCCGAGGUGGUCUACUUGAUAGCUGCGAGACAGCGAUACAAGGCUUUCUUGUUUAUGCUGCUGAGGUUCGCGCGUGACUUCUCUUCGCGUUUGGUUCCUACUUCGGACAUCCUCUUAAUGUGGUUGACCCACCAGAGCUACCCAACAGUGUAUUGUGAAGAUUUGAAAGCAUUAGCUAUAGAAGGUGAUCUGGAGAAGGUGGCAACUCUGUCUGAAAAGGUGAAGGAAAAGGAGUUUGAAGAAACCAAGAAGUUGUGGGAUAGGGCGUUCAAUCAACCUUAUGAGAAAGCUGGUGGAGAGGUGCCUUUGACGUUGGAGGGUGUUAUCUCAAUCAAAUCCCCUGUCUAUUGGGAGGAUUCGGGCACCGAUGUAAAUACAAAAUACAGGUCCAUGCUUCCAAGAUUUUUACUGGAGGCCUGUGUGUUUGUGAGGCUUAAGCAAAGAAUAACAACAUCGCAGAAGGAUGUAAACCGUGAUUUUCUACGUCUCCAAAUAAUUAGGUGUCAUAGUGAACUAAAGUUAGAUAAAGCCUUCUCCAAUUUCACCAAUGAUUCGUGGAAAAAAGCUUGGCACUUUUACUGUGAGUUUGGGACUAAGGGAGUUAUGUUUGACUAUCGUCGUCAUGGUGGUAACUGUCUAAGAGGAAGUAGCCUGCUAGAUACUGUGUCGUUCCGCUGGAAUGAUUUAUUGAGAGCAGAUUCUUUAACUUUGGAAAAGGAAGUUAGUCAACAGGUUAAUGUUGUUACGUCAAUAACCCCACCAGUUCAAGCACCAUACUUGUUGAAAUGUGUGCCUGAUCGAGUCACUGAUGAUUCUGGGGCUAUGAUAUCUGAUGUGAUUCUGAAGAUGAAUAGUUAUCGUCCACAAGAAGGCCGAUGGUUGUCUCGCACAGUUCUUGAUCAUGCAGGGAGAGUGUGUUUUGUUAUUAGAAUUAGGGUAGGAGGAGGAUUUUGGAGAAGAGGGGGUGAAGCUCCUUCAGCUGUAAAAUGGGAAGAUAGGAUUAUAGAGAUACGUGAAGGAUCUUGGUCUUAUGUUGCCGGUUACAUUGGUAGAGCCCCUGUACAGAAAAGGUGGUGGCCACUGCAACACCAAAGGAACCUACUGAACAAUGUAAAGCUGCAUGGUGCUUUUCAACAGGAGAUGAACUGACAAUACAAUGGGAGUCAUCACAAUCAGUGUCAGGUCUCACCUUUAGCUUGCUAAAUCAAACAUCUCCAGAGUCAUCGGUACUGCUAUUGAGAGGGAGGCAGAUGCAAUAUCAAGUAAAGAAAACAGAGUCAAAGAGAAAAGGUGAAGACAUGAAAACCGAGUUAGAGGAGAAAGAGGUUGACGAAGAGGAAGAUGAGGAGAGUUUUAUAACAGUAGUACGUUUCACAGAAGAUAACCCAGAUGGAAAAGCAACUGCUCUUCUAAAUUGGAGGCUAUUGGUUGUUGAAGUAUUGCCAGAAGAAGAUGCAGUACUGAUGCUUCUUCUUUGCCUUUCAAUACUCAAAAGCGUAUCAGAAAUGAAGAAACAAGACGUGGGAGGGUUGUUGGUGAGGAGAAGAUUAAAAGAAGCAAGGCUUGGAAGUAGGGAUUGGGGUUCUGUGAUACUUCAUCCAUCUUCAUGGUCCUCGUCCAUUGAUUCAACUUAUCUUCAACCUUGGCAUUGGAAUGCUGGGGUUUUGAUGAAAUCUGAUUCAGUAGAUCAGCUUAAAAGGUAUCCAACAUUAAGUCAAUCGCCAGUGGAAGGUAGUGACAAGUUAUACAAACAUGGAAUUUUAAGUUAAGUCUCUUUAAUUUUAGCAAAUACUAGUACUAUCAUUGUUUGCACAAAAUUUAGCUUUCUUCAAGUUUACUUUUUUUCCGGAAUUCAAAAUUAUGAGCCAGAAAAAUGUGUAGGAGUGCAAAUGUCAACCUAAAGUUCCAAAUUAGGUAAAAAGGAGAACAUGUAAGUUUUAAGAUCCUUAACGUCUUAAAUUUUUUGAAAAAAA